AUUGAACGCUGGCGGCAUGCCUUACACAUGCAAGUCGAACGGCAGCACGGGUGCUUGCACCUGGUGGCGAGAGGCGAACGGGUGAGUAAUACAUCGGAACGUACCUUAUCGUGGGGGAUAACGCAGCGAAAGCUGUGCUAAUACCGCAUACGCCCUGAGGGGGAAAGCGGGGGAUCGCAAGCACUCGCGCGAUUAGAGCGGCCGAUGCCUGAUUAGCUAGUUGGUGGGGUAAAAGCCCCCCAAGGCGACGAUCUGUAGCUGGUCUGAGAGGACGAUCAGCCACACUGGGACUGAGACACGGGCCAGACUCCUACGGGAGGCAGCAGUGGGGAAUUUUGGACAAUGGGGGCAACCCUGAUCCAGCAAUGCCGCGUGAGUGAAGAAGGCCUUCGGGUUGUAAAGCUCUUUUGUCAGGGAAGAAACACCGGCUCUAACACAGUCCGGGAAUAACGGUACCUGAAGAAUAAGCACCGGCUAACUACGUGCCAGCCGCCGCAGUAA
Molecule: ribosomal RNA, 501 nt
Filed under: uncultured bacterium
Lineage: Bacteria
Description: partial 16S ribosomal RNA
Rfam family: Bacterial small subunit ribosomal RNA
Source: RNAcentral